RNAcentral lists this ribosomal RNA (253 nucleotides) under uncultured bacterium. RNAcentral's name for it is "partial 16S ribosomal RNA". It matches the Rfam family "Bacterial small subunit ribosomal RNA", at positions 524 to 776 of the family's 1533-position model. The record is from RNAcentral.
UACGAAGGGGGCUAGCGUUGUUCGGAAUUACUGGGCGUAAAGAGUGCGUAGGCGGUUUUCUAAGUUUGGUGUGAAAUCUCCCGGCUUAACUGGGAGGGUGCGCCGAAGACUGGAAGGCUUGAGUAUGGGAGAGGUAAGCGGAAUUCCUGGUGUAGCGGUGAAAUGCGUAGAUAUCAGGAGGAACACCUGCGGUGUAGACGGCUUACUGGACCAUAACUGACGCUGAGGCACGAAAGCGUGGGUAGCAAACAGG